AGGAUGGAUGGGCUGCUCAGCCUGGCAUAGGAACUUCAAAUUUCAUCUUCCAUAGUACUCUUCAGGCAGCUGCUGACUAAUAAUUUGCAUGUCUUCUAGUUAUUUCCUUUAAGAUGUCACUGAAGUCAUUUCUCAAAGCAGACAAAAGCUCCAAUUUGCUUCUGCUAAUUUCAUCCCAAGACAAAGACAAACCACGAUCUAGUCGUUAGAGCCCGUGUGGCAGGAGCUAAUUUGGCGUCUGUGUCCCGCAUAGGGACUGAUUCACCGCGUGGCCCUGGGUGAGUUACUUAGCCUCCA
Molecule: long non-coding RNA, 297 nt
Organism: Canis lupus familiaris (dog)
Lineage: Eukaryota; Metazoa; Chordata; Mammalia; Carnivora; Canidae
Exons: 3
Source: RefSeq, a predicted model, not a curated record